AACGAACGCUGGCGGCAUGCCUAACACAUGCAAGUCGAACGAAGUCUUCGGACUUAGUGGCGCACGGGUGCGUAACGCGUGGGAAUCUACCUUUAGGUUCGGAAUAACUCACCGAAAGGUGUGCUAAUACCGGAUAAUGUCUUCGGACCAAAGAUUUAUCGCCUUUAGAUGAGCCCGCGUAAGAUUAGCUAGUUGGUGGGGUAAAAGCCUACCAAGGCGACGAUCUUUAGCUGGUCUGAGAGGAUGAUCAGCCACACUGGGACUGAGACACGGCCCAGACUCCUACGGGAGGCAGCAGUGGGGAAUAUUGGACGAUGGGCGAAAGCCUGAUCCAGCAAUGCCGCGUGAGUGAUGAAGGCCUUAGGGUUGUAAAGCUCUUUUACUGGGGAUGAUAAUGACAGUACCCAGAGAAUAAGCUCCGGCUAACUCCGUG
Molecule: ribosomal RNA, 433 nt
Filed under: uncultured bacterium
Lineage: Bacteria
Description: bacterial SSU rRNA
Rfam family: Bacterial small subunit ribosomal RNA
Source: RNAcentral